This 253-nucleotide ribosomal RNA is filed under the name uncultured bacterium. Its description in RNAcentral is "partial 16S ribosomal RNA". It matches the Rfam family "Bacterial small subunit ribosomal RNA", at positions 524 to 776 of the family's 1533-position model. The record is from RNAcentral.
UACGUAGGGGGCAAGCGUUGUCCGGAAUCAUUGGGCGUAAAGAGCGUGUAGGCGGUCCGGUAAGUCGGUUGUGAAAGUCCAGGGCUCAACCCUGGGAUGCCGACCGAUACUGUCGGACUAGAGUUCGGAAGAGGCGAGUGGAAUUCCCGGUGUAGCGGUGAAAUGCGCAGAUAUCGGGAGGAACACCUAUGGCGAAGGCAGCUCGCUGGGACGUUACUGACGCUGAGGCUCGAAAGCGUGGGGAGCAAACAGG